Molecule: unclassified non-coding RNA, 298 nt
Filed under: uncultured Chaetomiaceae
Lineage: Eukaryota; Fungi; Ascomycota; Sordariomycetes; Sordariales
Description: partial contains 5.8S ribosomal RNA, internal transcribed spacer 2, and large subunit ribosomal RNA
Rfam family: 5.8S ribosomal RNA (bases 1-102)
Source: RNAcentral
AUGCGAUAAGUAAUGUGAAUUGCAGAAUUCAGUGAAUCAUCGAAUCUUUGAACGCACAUUGCGCCCGCCAGUAUUCUGGCGGGCAUGCCUGUCCGAGCGUCAUUUCAACCAUCAAGCCCCGGGCUUGUGUUGGGGACCUGCGGCUGUCCGCAGGCCCUGAAAACCAGUGGCGGGCUCGCUGUCACCCCGAGCGUAGUAGUAUUAUCUCGCUAAGGGCGUGCUGCGGGUUCCGGCCGUUAAACAGCCUUUAUAACCCAAGGUUGACCUCGGAUCAGGUAGGAAGACCCGCUGAACUUAA